GCAGCAAAGUUAAGAAUUUUAGUAAAUUUUUGGUCUUCGCUUUUACUUGCAAUUGUUGUUUAUUGUAGUUUGGUUUUUAACAAGCUCACUUUUGUUUUUAUUCCAUAGCAUCAGUCAAGCCAGCAACCAUGAACUGUUUUAUCUGUUUAAAGCCAGCAAAUUUCAAGGAGCCAUGCUCACAGUGUGACCACUUAAUAUGCCAACAUUGCAGCAAAGUUUGUGAUCAUUGUGCAAGGAUUUGCUGUUCACUCUGCUCGUUCAAUGAUUAUAAUGAAGUUCGUGAUCGGGUUUUCUGUUAUGGCUGCUUCCCUUGAAGACACUCAGUUUUGAAUCCGCUCUAACUUGUAUAGAAAUGUUCAUAAUGCAUUAACUUGAUCACUUUCAUACUUAAAUGGAAGUGAAAUCUAAUGUUGUAAUAUAGUGUUUUUAAUCUGUAUUUGUAUAAAUAAAACUUUGUAUAAAUUUUUGCAUUA
Molecule: non-coding RNA, 473 nt
Organism: Chiloscyllium plagiosum (whitespotted bambooshark)
Lineage: Eukaryota; Metazoa; Chordata; Chondrichthyes; Orectolobiformes; Hemiscylliidae
Source: RefSeq, a predicted model, not a curated record